UGGCUGUGAUGAUUUCUUAGGACACCUUUGAAUGAAAUGUGAAAAUAAUUCAAAUGUUGAAAUCUGAGCCAC
This is a small nucleolar RNA of Nematolebias whitei (Rio pearlfish), 72 nucleotides long. RefSeq annotates it as small nucleolar RNA SNORD58. Lineage: Eukaryota; Metazoa; Chordata; Actinopteri; Cyprinodontiformes; Rivulidae. The transcript has a single exon. The record is from RefSeq and is a predicted model, not a curated record.